This 554-nucleotide ribosomal RNA is filed under the name uncultured fungus. RNAcentral describes it as "eukaryotic LSU rRNA". The stretch from base 206 to 359 matches the Rfam family "5.8S ribosomal RNA". Lineage: Eukaryota; Fungi. The record is from RNAcentral.
AAGGAUCAUUACAGAGAGGGGGCGUCCGCGCCCCCGGGGGCUCCGGCCCCCACCUCUACACCCGUGCUCACGUACCGUUUCCCUGUUGCCUUGGCGGGCCUUGGGCUCACCGCCCAUGCCGGCCCACCCGCCGGCGCGUGCCCGCCAAUUGCCUCCCACAAAUCGGUUGAUCGGUGAAGUCUGAGCGUGAUGUAUCAAUAAUCAAAACUUUCAACAACGGAUCUCUUGGUUCUGGCAUCGAUGAAGAACGCAGCGAAAUGCGAUAAGUAAUGUGAAUUGCAGAAUUCCGUGAAUCAUUGAAUCUUUGAACGCACAUUGCGCCCCUCGGUAUUCCGGGGGGCAUGCCUGUUCGAGCGUCAUUGCACCCCUCAAGCGUAGCUUGGUCUUGGGUCCGCGCCCGCCCCGGCGCCCCUGAAAAGCAUUGGCGGCCCGGGGGUGACUUCCAGUGCAGUAGAACCAUCUCCCGCUGCGAAGCCGCCCCGGUGGCCCCCAGACAAGCCCCAUCAGCUUCAAUGAUUGACCUCGGAUCAGGUAGGGAUACCCGCUGAACUUAA